GUAGGUGGCGAGCGUUGUCCGGAUUUAUUGGGCGUAAAGAGCUCGUAGGCGGUUUAAUAAGUCGGAUGUGAAAGUCCAGGGCUCAACCUGGGAACUGCAUCUGAUACUGUUGGACUAGAGUACGGGAGAGGUGAGUGGAAUUCCGAGUGUAGCGGUGAAAUGCGUAGAUAUUCGGAGGAACACCAAUUGCGAAGGCAGCUCACUGGGCCGCUAUCGACGCUGAGGAGCGAAAGCUAGGGGAGCAAACAGGAUUAGAUACCCUGGUAGUCCACGCCGUAAACGAUGGAUACUAGACGUUGGAAUUGGAUUAACGAUUUCUGUGUCGCAGCUAACGCGUUAAGUGUCCCGCCUGGGGAGUACGGUCGCAAGAUUAAAACUCAAAGGAAUUGACGGGGACCCGCACAAGCGGUGGAGCAUGUGGUUUAAUUCGAUGAUACCCGAAGAACCUUACCAGGACUUGACAUAUAGGGAAAAGUUAUAGAAAUAUAAUGUGCAUUAGCGCCCUAUACAGGUGGUGCAUGGCUGUCGUCGGCUCGUGUCGUGAGAUGUUGGGUUAAGUCCCGCAACGAGCGCAACCCACGUUUUUAGUUGCCAGCAUUUAGUUGGGCACUCUAGAAAGACCGCCGGUGAUAAACCGGAGGAAGGUGUGGAUGACGUCAAGUCAUCAUGCCCCUUACACCCUGGGCUACACACGUACUACAAUGCUACGGACAAAGGGCAGCAAACU
RNAcentral lists this ribosomal RNA (727 nucleotides) under uncultured cyanobacterium. Its description in RNAcentral is "bacterial SSU rRNA". It matches the Rfam family "Bacterial small subunit ribosomal RNA", at positions 527 to 1255 of the family's 1533-position model. The record is from RNAcentral. Lineage: Bacteria; Bacillati; Cyanobacteriota.